AUUGAACGCUGGCGGAAUGCUUUACACAUGCAAGUCGAACGGCAGCACGGGUGCUUGCACCUGGUGGCGAGUGGCGAACGGGUGAGUAAUACAUCGGAACGUGCCCAGUCGUGGGGGAGUAACACAGCGAAAGCUGUGCUAAUACCGCAUACGUCCUGAGGGAGAAAGCGGGGGACCGUAAGGCCUCGCGCGAUUGGAGCGGCCGAUGUCUGAUUAGCUAGUUGGUGAGGUAAAGGCUCACCAAGGCGACGAUCAGUAGCUGGUCUGAGAGGAUGAUCAGCCACACUGGAACUGAGACACGGUCCAGACUCCUACGGGAGGCAGCAGUGGGGAAUUUUGGACAAUGGGCGAAAGCCUGAUCCAGCCAUUCCGCGUGAGUGAAGAAGGCC
Molecule: ribosomal RNA, 389 nt
Filed under: uncultured bacterium
Lineage: Bacteria
Description: bacterial SSU rRNA
Rfam family: Bacterial small subunit ribosomal RNA
Source: RNAcentral